RNAcentral lists this ribosomal RNA (403 nucleotides) under uncultured prokaryote. RNAcentral's name for it is "bacterial SSU rRNA". It matches the Rfam family "Bacterial small subunit ribosomal RNA", at positions 355 to 774 of the family's 1533-position model. The record is from RNAcentral.
UGGGGAAUCUUGCACAAUGGGGGAAACCCUGAUGCAGCGACGCCGCGUGAGCGAUGAAGCCCUUCGGGGUGUAAAGCUCUUUCGGCAGGGACGAUAAUGACGGUACCUGCAGAAGCAGCUGCGGCUAACUACGUGCCAGCAGCCGCGGUAAUACGUAGGCAGCAAGCGUUGUUCGGAGUUACUGGGCGUAAAGGGUGUGUAGGCGGUCCUCUAAGGUUGGUGUGGAAUCUCCCGGCUCAACUGGGAGGGUGCGCCGAAAACUGGGGGGCUUCGGGUGCGGGAUGGGAGAGUGGAAUUCCUGGUGUAGCGGGGAAAUGCGUAGAUAUCAGGAGGAACACCUGCGGUGUAGACGGCUCUCUGGACCGUAACUGACGCUGAGACACGAAAGCGUGGGUAGCAAACA